This 1344-nucleotide ribosomal RNA is filed under the name Lactiplantibacillus plantarum. Its description in RNAcentral is "bacterial SSU rRNA". It matches the Rfam family "Bacterial small subunit ribosomal RNA", at positions 97 to 1428 of the family's 1533-position model. Lineage: Bacteria; Bacillati; Bacillota; Bacilli; Lactobacillales; Lactobacillaceae. The record is from RNAcentral.
GGCGAACUGGUGAGUAACACGUGGGAAACCUGCCCAGAAGCGGGGGAUAACACCUGGAAACAGAUGCUAAUACCGCAUAACAACUUGGACCGCAUGGUCCGAGUUUGAAAGAUGGCUUCGGCUAUCACUUUUGGAUGGUCCCGCGGCGUAUUAGCUAGAUGGUGGGGUAACGGCUCACCAUGGCAAUGAUACGUAGCCGACCUGAGAGGGUAAUCGGCCACAUUGGGACUGAGACACGGCCCAAACUCCUACGGGAGGCAGCAGUAGGGAAUCUUCCACAAUGGACGAAAGUCUGAUGGAGCAACGCCGCGUGAGUGAAGAAGGGUUUCGGCUCGUAAAACUCUGUUGUUAAAGAAGAACAUAUCUGAGAGUAACUGUUCAGGUAUUGACGGUAUUUAACCAGAAAGCCACGGCUAACUACGUGCCAGCAGCCGCGGUAAUACGUAGGUGGCAAGCGUUGUCCGGAUUUAUUGGGCGUAAAGCGAGCGCAGGCGGUUUUUUAAGUCUGAUGUGAAAGCCUUCGGCUCAACCGAAGAAGUGCAUCGGAAACUGGGAAACUUGAGUGCAGAAGAGGACAGUGGAACUCCAUGUGUAGCGGUGAAAUGCGUAGAUAUAUGGAAGAACACCAGUGGCGAAGGCGGCUGUCUGGUCUGUAACUGACGCUGAGGCUCGAAAGUAUGGGUAGCAAACAGGAUUAGAUACCCUGGUAGUCCAUACCGUAAACGAUGAAUGCUAAGUGUUGGAGGGUUUCCGCCCUUCAGUGCUGCAGCUAACGCAUUAAGCAUUCCGCCUGGGGAGUACGGCCGCAAGGCUGAAACUCAAAGGAAUUGACGGGGGCCCGCACAAGCGGUGGAGCAUGUGGUUUAAUUCGAAGCUACGCGAAGAACCUUACCAGGUCUUGACAUACUAUGCAAAUCUAAGAGAUUAGACGUUCCCUUCGGGGACAUGGAUACAGGUGGUGCAUGGUUGUCGUCAGCUCGUGUCGUGAGAUGUUGGGUUAAGUCCCGCAACGAGCGCAACCCUUAUUAUCAGUUGCCAGCAUUAAGUUGGGCACUCUGGUGAGACUGCCGGUGACAAACCGGAGGAAGGUGGGGAUGACGUCAAAUCAUCAUGCCCCUUAUGACCUGGGCUACACACGUGCUACAAUGGAUGGUACAACGAGUUGCGAACUCGCGAGAGUAAGCUAAUCUCUUAAAGCCAUUCUCAGUUCGGAUUGUAGGCUGCAACUCGCCUACAUGAAGUCGGAAUCGCUAGUAAUCGCGGAUCAGCAUGCCGCGGUGAAUACGUUCCCGGGCCUUGUACACACCGCCCGUCACACCAUGAGAGUUUGUAACACCCAAAGUC